GGCCGGUUGGCCCAAUGGCAAGGCGUCUGACUACGACUCCAGACGUACUUCUUCGCAAGAUCCGUCGGGGUUCCGAUAUCAGGAGAUUCUGGGUUCGACCCCCAGGCUGGUCA
This 113-nucleotide transfer RNA is filed under the name Colletotrichum orbiculare MAFF 240422. RNAcentral's name for it is "tRNA-Arg for anticodon ACG". It matches the Rfam family "tRNA". From Rfam's summary of the family: Transfer RNA (tRNA) molecules are approximately 80 nucleotides in length. Lineage: Eukaryota; Fungi; Ascomycota; Sordariomycetes; Glomerellales; Glomerellaceae. The record is from Rfam by way of RNAcentral.